UGCAGUGUCAGUUGGAGCAGAGAGGAUCGAUGUGUGGCUUUAUGUUUUGGGAUUGCUGAGUUUUUUUUGAUUCUUUAUGUGCUUUGCUUUAGACUUGUUUCCCUUAGUUUUCUUUUAUUGCUAAACAUUUAAAGUGAAUCAGUGUUUUUGGAAAAGGAGUUACACAAGUAUUCAGGUCCAGUCUCACCUUCUCAGCAGCUUUUCAUUUGUUCCUGAAGUUGCUAAAAUUUGCCAACAAAAAUUCAUCUACAGAAGAAUCUCUACAUGGAGCAUGGCGUCAAGGAUGGAGAGGUUUAAAGUUAACAAAUAUGGAUCCAGACACGGAGCACCUCACAAGGAAGGCACACACCCUCAUCAAGAGCUGCUCUAUGGCCACAGAAUCUGGUCAGGAGAAGAGAUUUUCCAGGGCCUACUCCCCUGGGUUCAGGAGGUCUGUGAAGCUGCAAAAAUGACACUGGAAGACUUGGAUGACUUUCAUCAAUCUGAAUCUCUCUGAAUCUGAACAGGUGAAGACUUGUUUUCAGAACUGAAGGAGGAAGUUUAGGAAAACCAGCACAUGAUGUAGAGAAAUUUCAGCACUGUGGCUCAACAGGAGCAGGUCCUGCCUUACCUGAACACCUUUGUCAGUGAUGGAGCUUCCUGUUUGUAUCCAAGCACUGGGUCAGUUAAAGAGGGUGGGGGAGUAAAGAAAGGCCACCUCCUCCCUUGUGUUGGUGUAGCUGAAGUCGUAGACUUUCCACUUUAUUUUUCUGAAUAUUCAUCGUUGUCUGCAAUUUAUCGUUUUAACCACUGAUGUCUGAAGAAAAAAAAGUGUAAUCUCACAGAUGACCUGUUUGUAGUAUUGGGUGGCAGGUUUUCCAUUUCUUUAUACCAGUGGUAUCAAACUGAGAGCUGCAAGAGGUCAUUUAUACAUUUGUAAUCAGCUGUGUAAGAUGGUAGACUGGUAUCACCUGCAUAUUAACUCACCUCCACAUUUACUGUGGGAAAUGGCCACUAAUGUGCGAGUGGGUUUGUUUCACAACUGCUGUGAGCCAGUCGCUGUGAUUGGGCUGGGUUCAUUGAAGGCAGGUGUAUUUGAUUGCACUCUAGUCUACUUAUACUCCAGACUGCUAUUACUGAUGGCCAAAUGAAGCUUUCUGAAGUGUUGAAGCUUGUAUUGGCCAAAAGUAUGAAGAGCAGCUUGACUCUACAACUUGAAAUGAACUGCUUCAUUAUCAUUGCCCAGUCACAGCUUCUGUUUAAUAUCAUGUGAUAAUUCUGUCUGAUAUCAGGCUAACGUUGUGGUGCUUUGAACCUGUAUUUUCUGUGUGACACAAUGUUAUGUCUGUUUCAUGAAUAAAUUUGAUGAAUAAACU
This 1355-nucleotide long non-coding RNA is filed under the name Oreochromis niloticus (Nile tilapia). RNAcentral's name for it is "lncRNA (ENSONIG00000025989.2)". Lineage: Eukaryota; Metazoa; Chordata; Actinopteri; Cichliformes; Cichlidae. The record is from RNAcentral.